RNAcentral lists this ribosomal RNA (879 nucleotides) under uncultured bacterium. RNAcentral describes it as "bacterial SSU rRNA". It matches the Rfam family "Bacterial small subunit ribosomal RNA", at positions 38 to 909 of the family's 1533-position model. The record is from RNAcentral.
AGCUACAGGCUUAACACAUGCAAGUCGAGGGGCAGCGGGAUUGAAGCUUGCUUCAAUUGCCGGCGACCGGCGCACGGGUGAGUAACGCGUAUCCAACCUUCCGUACACUCAGGGAUAGCCUUUCGAAAGAAAGAUUAAUACCUGAUGGUAUCUUAAGCACACAUGUAAUUAAGAUUAAAGAUUUAUCGGUGUACGAUGGGGAUGCGUUCCAUUAGGUAGUAGGCGGGGUAACGGCCUACCUAGCCAACGAUGGAUAGGGGUUCUGAGAGGAAGGUCCCCCACAUUGGAACUGAGACACGGUCCAAACUCCUACGGGAGGCAGCAGUGAGGAAUAUUGGUCAAUGGACGAGAGUCUGAACCAGCCAAGUAGCGUGAAGGAUGAAGGUCCUACGGAUUAUAAACUUCUUUUAUAAGGGAAUAAACCCUCCCACGUGUGGGAGCUUGUAUGUACCUUAUGAAUAAGCAUCGGCUAACUCCGUGCCAGCAGCCGCGGUAAUACGGAGGAUGCGAGCGUUAUCCGGAUUUAUUGGGUUUAAAGGGAGCGCAGACGGGUCGUUAAGUCAGCUGUGAAAGUUUGGGGCUCAACCUUAAAAUUGCAGUUGAUACUGGCGUCCUUGAGUGCGGUUGAGGUGUGCGGAAUUCGUGGUGUAGCGGUGAAAUGCUUAGAUAUCACGAAGAACUCCGAUUGCGAAGGCAGCACACUAAUCCGUAACUGACGUUCAUGCUCGAAAGUGUGGGUAUCAAACAGGAUUAGAUACCCUGGUAGUCCACACGGUAAACGAUGGAUACUCGCUGUUGGCGAUAUACUGUCAGCGGCUUAGCGAAAGCGUUAAGUAUCCCACCUGGGGAGUACGCCGGCAACGGUGAAACUCAAAGGAA